Microcebus murinus (gray mouse lemur) is the source of this 481-nucleotide non-coding RNA. The record is from RefSeq and is a predicted model, not a curated record. Lineage: Eukaryota; Metazoa; Chordata; Mammalia; Primates; Cheirogaleidae.
GAAGAGUGGAAAUGUAAACGGCAAACUCAAGAUUAGUCAUAAGCACUUUGAAGAAGCUUUCAAGAAAGUAAAACCAUCUGUAUCAAAAAAGGCUCAACAUUUCUCAUUAUGAUUAUUGAUUGAAAACUCUUAAGUCAAAGUCCAAAACAGUUGUAUGAAAUGAGUGGCUGUGUUUCAGUGCCACCAGUCUUGGUCUAUAUGUCCUAAGGUAAUUGACUGUCUUACUACUUUAAACUAAAAUAAAUAACCAGUUUAAGGGGUGGGGGGGGGAUCUUUUUAGGCACAUGGCUUUUUCAGCUAGAGUAAAGUUAAGAGUCUGCAGAACCUGGACUAAGUUUUUUUGAUUUUUGCUUUGUUUGUUUGUUUUGCCAUAUGUGGAGAAGCAAUUUUCUGCCUUGUUUUCUCAGGCAUUAUUCUAGACCAGCAAAAAUGUUUUUUAUUUUACUGAACAUCUUUGAAUGGAACAGUCUUAUUAAUUAAA